UUUAUUUUGCUUUUUCAAAUUUUAUUUGUAGAGUAAAAUGCAACAACUGAUGUUUUCUUUUUUCUGUUUUAGAUCUUUGCUAAUUACACAUUUAUGCUUUUGUAGGAAAACAUUCAUGGGUUCUAAUUAGCCUUUCUGAACGUUUUCCCUUCUUUAGUGAGGGUGAAAGGUUCUAUGUCUUCUUGCCACCCCCAGCCCCAGUCAUCAUCAUCAUCAGAGUCUUGGUUUGAGUAGGAGGUGACUUGGUCUUGAGAUUCUGUUGGCUCUCGACAAAAUUGGCAAAGACAAGCAUGGCCCAGGUUAUUUUGCUGAGGGAAAGAGAUAGAAGGGUGAGUGAGUGAGUGUGUUUGUGUGCGGGUGCAUGUGUGUAAUUUAUAAAUAGGAUCAAUUGCCUACUUUAAUAAGUAUAUAGAAAUAAAAUAGUAAAACAAAUAUGCCCAAGUAUGAACUCUUCAGUGAUGCUUGUCUUGUACCGUCGUCUUUUUUUCUGAGGUUGUUGGUGAUAAGUGAUACUGCAGUUAGUGAUUAUUGAUUUGUUUCCCUAGGCAAGAAAUUAUAGAGCAGCUUCUAUCAAAUAUUUUCCACAAGGAGAAAAAUGAGUCAGCCAUAGUCAGUGCAAUCCAGAUAUUGCUGACUUUACUUGAGACACGACGACCAACAUUUGAAGGCCAUAUAGAGAUCUGCCCACCAGGCAUGAGCCAUUCAGCUUGUUCAGUAAACAAGAGUGUUCUAGAAGCCAUCAGAGGAAGACUUGGAUCUUUUCAUGAACUCCUGCUGGAGCCACCCAAGAAAAGUGUGAUGAAGACCACAUGGGGUGUGCUGGAUCCUCCUGUGGGGAAUACCCGGUUGAAUGUCAUUAGGUUGAUAUCCAGCCUGCUUCAAACCAAUACCAGCAGUAUAAAUGGGGACCUUAUGGAGCUGAAUAGCAUUGGAGUCAUAUUGAACAUGUUCUUCAAGUAUACAUGGAAUAACUUUUUGCAUACACAAGUGGAAAUUUGUAUUGCACUGAUUCUUGCAAGUCCUUUUGAAAACACAGAAAAUGCCACAAUUACCGAUCAAGACUCCACUGGUGAUAAUUUGUUAUUAAAACAUCUUUUCCAAAAAUGUCAAUUAAUAGAACGAAUACUUGAAGCCUGGGAAAUGAAUGAGAAGAAACAGUAAGUAAAUUGUUUUUUUGAAAGGAAUUCAGUUUGGUUGGUAAUAUGAGGAAAAUAAUACCUCCUUGCCCUAGUCAG
Molecule: long non-coding RNA, 1235 nt
Filed under: Homo sapiens (human)
Lineage: Eukaryota; Metazoa; Chordata; Mammalia; Primates; Hominidae
Description: long non-coding RNA NONHSAT159315.1
Source: RNAcentral